AUUUAAUAUCUUCUACAUUGAUAUAUACAUAUAGACAUUAGCUAUCAACCAUGAUGGUCAAUACAUAUAUAGUUAGAAUGAUCAAAUGAGUCCAGAGAAAGAUUAUAUACUUUUACAACCAUUUUCUUCAUUUUAAGAUAGAAUAACGAGGACCCAUUAGCAAGCAACUAUUACCAACUGUUGUCUCUGUGUGCGUGUGUGUGU
This 204-nucleotide unclassified non-coding RNA is filed under the name Hevea brasiliensis (rubber tree). Lineage: Eukaryota; Viridiplantae; Streptophyta; Magnoliopsida; Malpighiales; Euphorbiaceae. The record is from RNAcentral.